GAGGGUAUAGCUCAGUGGUAGAGCACAUGCUUAGCAUACACGAAGUCCUGGGUUCAAUCCUUGGUACUUCCA
Molecule: transfer RNA, 72 nt
Filed under: Camelus bactrianus (Bactrian camel)
Lineage: Eukaryota; Metazoa; Chordata; Mammalia; Artiodactyla; Camelidae
Also listed under: 3 other names
Rfam family: tRNA
About the family: Transfer RNA (tRNA) molecules are approximately 80 nucleotides in length.
Source: Rfam by way of RNAcentral